AAACAUGUCUUUCUGUAAUAAAUAUAAAGUCUAACCUGCCCACUGAAAUUUUUAAAUGGCCGCAGUACACUAACUGUGCAAAGGUAGCAUAAUCAUUAGUCUUUUAAUUGGAGGCUGGUAUGAAUGGUUGGACGAGAUAUUAACUGUUUCAUUUAAAUUUAUAAUAGAAUUUUAUUUUUUAGUCAAAAAGCUAAAAUUUAUUUAAAAGACGAGAAGACCCUAUAAAUCUUUAUAUUUUAUUUAUAUUAAUUAAUUAGAUUAUUUUAAUUAUUAUAAAAUAAAAUAUUUUAUUGGGGUGAUAUUAAAAUUUAAUAAACUUUUAAUUAAUUUAAACAUUAAUUUAUGAGUAAUUGAUCCGUUAAUAACGAUUAAAAAUUUAAGUUACUUUAGGGAUAACAGCGUAAUUUUUUUGGAGAGUUCAUAUCGAUAAAAAAGAUUGCGACCUCGAUGUUGGAUUAAGAUAUAAUUUUAGGCGUAGCAGUUUAAAUUUUAAGUCUGUUCGACUUUUAAUUUCUUACA
This 519-nucleotide ribosomal RNA is filed under the name Pteromicra pectorosa. Its description in RNAcentral is "partial 16S ribosomal RNA". It matches the Rfam family "Bacterial large subunit ribosomal RNA", at positions 1811 to 2600 of the family's 2925-position model. Lineage: Eukaryota; Metazoa; Arthropoda; Insecta; Diptera; Sciomyzidae. The record is from RNAcentral.